RNAcentral lists this ribosomal RNA (253 nucleotides) under uncultured bacterium. RNAcentral describes it as "partial 16S ribosomal RNA". It matches the Rfam family "Bacterial small subunit ribosomal RNA", at positions 524 to 776 of the family's 1533-position model. The record is from RNAcentral.
UACGGAGGGUGCAAGCGUUAUCCGGAUUCAUUGGGUUUAAAGGGUGCGCAGGCGGGAUCUUAAGUCAGUGGUGAAAUCCCGGAGCUCAACUCCGGAACUGCCAUUGAUACUGAGAUUCUUGAAUGUGGUUGGCGUGGGCGGAAUGUGCCAUGUAGCGGUGAAAUGCUUAGAUAUGGCACAGAACACCGAUCGCGAAGGCAGCUCACGAAGCCAUUAUUGACGCUCAGGCACGAAAGCACGGGGAGCAAACCGG